RNAcentral lists this long non-coding RNA (371 nucleotides) under Rosa chinensis. RNAcentral describes it as "sRNA RchiOBHm_Chr4g0391781". The record is from RNAcentral. Lineage: Eukaryota; Viridiplantae; Streptophyta; Magnoliopsida; Rosales; Rosaceae.
CAUCAGACUAUCAACUGAGGACUAUGACUUUGACAAUGCUUUUGGGGUUCUCUGCCGUAUAUGCAGGUUUUAAGUUCUGAUUUUUAAUGAAGAUGCUACUAAGCUUCCUCUGCCAUAUCCUAAAGUCGGAUAUCUUACUGUACGACCAGUACGGAAACCAAUUGCAUGUCAUAGUGAUUGGCUAUGACCAUAAUUUAUUUUGAACAAUGAAGGACUUCAACAGGUCACCAAAGGUGACGAAAAGCAAGCAGAAGAUCAGGAGAUACAGCUAUGAAAGUUAAUAUUCUAGAUAUAUGUUCUGUUACAGUUUGCCACCAGAUAUGAAAUCAAUAAAAUUUAUGGGGUAUCAAAUUUCUUGCCGCAGUUUAUCG